CCGUAGCUCAGUUGGAUAGAGUGUCGGCCUCCGACGCCGAAGGUCAUGGGUUCGAAUCCCCUCGGGU
This 67-nucleotide transfer RNA is filed under the name chicken gut metagenome. It matches the Rfam family "tRNA", at positions 5 to 66 of the family's 71-position model. From Rfam's summary of the family: Transfer RNA (tRNA) molecules are approximately 80 nucleotides in length. Their secondary structure includes four short double-helical elements and three loops (D, anti-codon, and T loops). The record is from RNAcentral.